RNAcentral lists this ribosomal RNA (468 nucleotides) under uncultured bacterium. RNAcentral's name for it is "partial 16S ribosomal RNA". It matches the Rfam family "Bacterial small subunit ribosomal RNA", at positions 28 to 507 of the family's 1533-position model. The record is from RNAcentral.
GACGAACGCUGGCGGCGUGCUUAACACAUGCAAGUCGAACGGAAAGGCCCUGCUUUUGUGGGGUGCUCGAGUGGCGAACGGGUGAGUAACACGUGAGUAACCUGCCCUUGACUUUGGGAUAACUUCAGGAAAGUGGGCCUAAUACCGGAUAGGAGCCCCUGUUGCAUGGUGGGGGUUGGAAAGUUUCGGCGGGUGGGGAUGGACGCGCGGCUUUUCAGCUUGUUGGUGGGGUAGUGGCUGACCCAGUCUUUGACCGGUAGCCGGCCUGGGAGGGUGACCGGCCACAACGGGACUGAGAUACGGCCCAGACUCCUACGGGAGGCAGCAGUGGGGAAUAUUGCACAAUGGGCGGAAGCCUGAUGCAGCAACGCCGCGUGCGGGAUGACGGCCUUCGGGUUGUAAACCGCUUUCGCCUGUGACGAAGCGUGAGUGACGGUAAUGGGUAAAGAAGCACCGGCUAAUUACGUG